This 80-nucleotide transfer RNA is filed under the name Bos taurus (domestic cattle). It matches the Rfam family "tRNA". Rfam says of the family: Transfer RNA (tRNA) molecules are approximately 80 nucleotides in length. RNAcentral also lists the same sequence under 4 other names. The record is from Rfam by way of RNAcentral. Lineage: Eukaryota; Metazoa; Chordata; Mammalia; Artiodactyla; Bovidae.
UCCCAGAUGGCUUAGUGGUAAAGCAUAUGCCUGCCAAGCAGGAGAUGCAGGAGAUGUGGGUUCAAUCCCUGGGUUGGGAA